Triticum dicoccoides is the source of this 631-nucleotide long non-coding RNA. RefSeq lists it as uncharacterized. NCBI's taxonomy places the organism in Eukaryota, Viridiplantae, Streptophyta, Magnoliopsida, Poales, Poaceae. The transcript has 3 exons. The record is from RefSeq and is a predicted model, not a curated record.
GUUCCCCACUCCCCCCACUCUCCCUCGUUCCCUCGCGCCGUCACCCAUCACACACACACAUACGCACAGGGGAGGGGCGCAUCUGUUCGGUCUCCCUCCCCCCGACGCGCCCGCACCCGAAGGCUGCAACUAGCCGGCGUCGAGCGCCGCCUCUCCCGACCAUCGUCCUCGCGCCGCCGCUAACUAGCGCUGCCAUGCCCAACUGCUUCGCCUGCCCCGUCCUCGUCGACUGCAAGCAACGGAUCGAGACCCGAUCCACUACAACCUCGACACCGACUGCUUCUUCCCGGCGGCCGUCGUCUCCAUUGCCGGUCGAUCUCCCUCAGCGCCUCCCCAACCUCGCCGAGCUUGUCCAUGGCCUCCUCGGGACCCCGAGACCGAUGAUGCCGCUGUGAUCGACUACUUCACCGACGAACCCUACUUCUUGUCUGAGCAACCAGAUGACGGAUCCCAAGAGCCAGACGACGCCACUGAUGACUACUACUACCCGGAGGAUGCCUACUGCUAAGUGAAGACCGCAGACGAUUAGGAGUAGUAGGAGGCUCCCAGGCAGGAGGCCUCGCCUUUUCGAUCGUUGUUGCUUUUGUGCUAGCCUUCUUAAGGCAAACUUGUCUAACUUAUGUCUGCACUC